RNAcentral lists this ribosomal RNA (859 nucleotides) under uncultured archaeon. RNAcentral describes it as "bacterial SSU rRNA". It matches the Rfam family "Archaeal small subunit ribosomal RNA", at positions 1 to 846 of the family's 1478-position model. The record is from RNAcentral.
UUCCGGUUGAUCCUGCCGGACCCGACUGCUAUUUGGGUGAGAAUAAGCCAUGCGAGUCGAAUAGGAUUCCUAAAUUUCCCAUGGCAAACUGCUCAGUAACACAUGAUCAACUUACCCUAUAGAGAAAAAUAACCUCGGGAAACUGAGGAUAAUAUUUCAUAAUUGAAUCGGCUUGGAAAAGUUUUUCAAUUAAAAGAAUAAGAAAAAUGGUUCUUAUUCGCUAUAGGAUAGGAUCGUGGUCGAUUAUGGUUGUUGGUGAGGUAAUGGCUCACCAAGCCGAUAAUCGAUAGGGGCCGUGAGAGCGGGAGCCCCGAGAUGGGUACUGAGACAACGACCCAGGCCUUACGAGGCGCAGCAGGCGCGAAACCUCCGCAAUACACGAAAGUGUGACGGGGUUACCCAAAGUGUUCAAUUUUGAACUGUGGUAGGUGAGUAAUGUUCCCUACUAGAAAGGAGAGAGCAAGGCUGGUGCCAGCCGCCGCGGUAAAACCAGCUCUUCAAGUGGUCGGGAUAAUUAUUGGGCUUAAAGUGUCCGUAGCCGGUUUAGUAAGUUCCUGGUAAAAUCGGGUAGCUUAACUAUCUGUAUGCUAGGAAUACUGCUAUACUAGAGGACGGGAGAGGUCUGAGGUACUACAGGGGUAGGGGUGAAAUCUUAUAAUCCUUGUAGGACCACCAGUGGCGAAGGCGUCAGACUGGAACGUGCCUGACGGUGAGGGACGAAAGCCAGGGGAGCGAACCGGAUUAGAUACCCGGGUAGUCCUGGCCGUAAACGAUGCAUACUAGGUGAUGGCAUGGCCAUGAGCCGUGUCAGUGCCGUAGGGAAACCGUUAAGUGUGCCGCCUGGGAAGUACGGUCGCAA